CAAUUAGUAAGAUUGUUUUUACCUCUAUUGAAUUGAAUAAUUGAUGGAAUUAGUUACAAAUGUAUAUUUUUUUUUAAGUUUCCUCUUGUUUUAAGUUUUAAGUUUUUUUUAAUUCAUUUGUUUACAGAAAAAGGAGAUUGACAAGUCUUAGGUAGCUUUACAGUUAUUCCUGUAGAAAGUGUGUAAUCUCAGAACUGUUUCUGGAAUGGACAAGAAGUGUUGAUCUGUGUAGUGGUAGACUUUCAGUCAUUGUUGUAUUUUUAUUUGUUGUUUGUUUAUUUAUGAUAAGUUCCCUCUCAUUUUGUUGUCACAUAUCAAAUGCAAUAUAUUUAUUUUAUUUUGUGUACAGAAUGAUUGAUUUGGUAAAUUGAUAUUUUAAUUUUUUGAAAAUUUAACAGUAUCGAUCUUAUGCAGUAGAGUUGUUUAAUGACCUCAGUUGAUUUAAGCUGGCAAUAUGUAUUCAGGUGGAAUUUACUGGUGAAAUUAUCUUUGCAUUUAUUUGGAUAAGGUUGUUUUGUUGAUUCUUUUUUUUUCUUUUUUUAAUAUUUUGGUCUUUUUAAGACAGCCGAAGAUGUUUUCUUAUGUUUCAUUGCAAGAAAACUGACAUGGCUUUAGAAUUUUAAAAGAUAUUUAAUUGACAUAGAGUAGCAAGUUGACAAAGUAAUAUUAGGAAAAUUCAAUAAUAUAAAAAUCAUUUUAUAAAAUGAUUUAAAUAAAUGAUUUUGAUAUAUCAGACUUAUUUCAACAAAACAAGUAUUAGGUUGGGGUUUCUGUUCUUGAAAAGGAAAAUUAAAAGAUUAAAAGAUGAUAAGCAAUUAUAUAUAUAUAAAAAGGGGGGAUUAAAUAUUCACACAUAAUUUUAAGAUUUAAUAUAAACGUUUACUAUUUCAAUUUCUACAAGUCCAACAGUAAAUAUAUAUACUGUUUAUUUGAUAGUUUAAUAAUGAAUUAACACAUGACGAAUCAGGGCACCACACAAUAUAAUUUUCAUAAUAAAAUUGUGCAGAUAAAAUUUAAUAAACAUUGAUGUUGAUAAGGAUUUACUUGAUUUGAUUGAUUAAUGCAUGUCAAUUUCAUAUAGAAUGUCAUAUGAGGUCACAUGGAAUUAAGUUUUAUAUUCUUGCCUUCCCCUAUCUUUUCUUUAAUUUUAUAUUUUUACGCUAUAUUUUAAUAGCAUUAUUACAUGAAAUUAGUUUUAUGUUGCAAUGAUACAAACAAUUUCAGGAAGUCCAUAGAGAUGCUAUAAGAAAAUAAUGAAAUGAAUAUAGUUGUGCCUCUCUAUUUUUAAAGAUCCCUGCCACGAAAACCUAAGGCAUAUAAAAAAAAGUACAGAACUUGUAUCAUUUAUGUAAAUUGGGACUUAAGUAUGAUGCCAAUCCUAUUUAUAGAUCCUAUUUAUAGUCUAGAACUUUGCUACCUAUUGCUAGCCAAAAGAAAAAGGACAAACUGUAUUCCUAUCACCUGUUAUUCUAGAUAACAGAUUUGGUCGAUCAUAAUCAAUUUUUUGACAUAAUUAUUGUUCCAUCCAUAUCUUUGUGCAUGUAUUUUGUAAAAUAUUUGGAUGGAUUUUUCUAUUGAAUGAAUCUAAAUUGGCAUGAUGCCAGAUGUUUUGUUGUUAUUGAGAUCAGUAUUAUCUGAUGUUUCACUGAAUUUACUGAUUAAAUCUAUACACAAA
This 1675-nucleotide long non-coding RNA is filed under the name Mytilus galloprovincialis (Mediterranean mussel). The record is from RNAcentral. Lineage: Eukaryota; Metazoa; Mollusca; Bivalvia; Mytilida; Mytilidae.